Molecule: ribosomal RNA, 433 nt
Filed under: uncultured bacterium
Lineage: Bacteria
Description: partial 16S ribosomal RNA
Rfam family: Bacterial small subunit ribosomal RNA
Source: RNAcentral
AACGAACGCUGGCGGCAUGCCUAACACAUGCAAGUCGAACGAGACCUUCGGGUCUAGUGGCGCACGGGUGCGUAACGCGUGGGAAUCUGCCCUUGGGUUCGGAAUAACAGUUGGAAACGACUGCUAAUACCGGAUGAUGACGUAAGUCCAAAGAUUUAUCGCCCAAGGAUGAGCCCGCGUAGGAUUAGCUAGUUGGUGAGGUAAAGGCUCACCAAGGCGACGAUCCUUAGCUGGUCUGAUAGGAUGAUCAGCCACACUGGGACUAAGACACGGCCCAGACUACUACGGGAGGCAGCAGUGGGGAAUAUUGGACAAUGGGCGAAAGCCUGAUCCAGCAAUGCCGCGUGAGUGAUGAAGGCCUUAGGGUUGUAAAGCUCUUUUACCCGGGAUGAUAAUGACAGUACCGGGAGAAUAAGCUCCGGCUAACUCCGUG